UAGUUAAGUUCUUGAAACUCAAAGAAUUUGGCGGUAUUUUAGUCUAGUCAGAGGAAUCUGUCCCGUGAUCGAUAAUUCACGAGUUAUUGUACUUGAUUUUGUAAUAUCAGUUUGUAUACCGCCGUCAUCAGAUUAUCUUUUUAGGGUGUUAAUUUUCUUAAAAUUUUAUUAGAUAGUAUGUCAGGUCAAGGUGCAACUUAUAAUUAAGUGGAGAUGGAUUACAAUAAAUUUAUUUAUAAUGGAUUUUGAAUUGAAAUAUGAAGUUGAAGGUGGAUUUGGUAGUAAGAUUAUAUAUUAAUAAUUUGAUUUUAGCUCUAAAAUGUGCACAUAUCGCCCGUCGCUCUCGUUAUUAAGGUGAGAUAAGUCGUAACAUAGUAGAUGUACUGGAAAGUGUAUCUAGAAAGU
This 405-nucleotide ribosomal RNA is filed under the name Penalva flavocalceata. RNAcentral's name for it is "Penalva flavocalceatus partial 12S ribosomal RNA". It matches the Rfam family "Microsporidia small subunit ribosomal RNA", at positions 755 to 1311 of the family's 1311-position model. Lineage: Eukaryota; Metazoa; Arthropoda; Insecta; Orthoptera; Anostostomatidae. The record is from RNAcentral.